RNAcentral lists this unclassified non-coding RNA (336 nucleotides) under soil metagenome. RNAcentral's name for it is "partial contains 5.8S ribosomal RNA, internal transcribed spacer 2, and large subunit ribosomal RNA". The stretch from base 1 to 120 matches the Rfam family "5.8S ribosomal RNA", at positions 35 to 154 of the family's 154-position model. The record is from RNAcentral.
GAUGAAGAACGUAGUGAAAUGCGAUAAGUAAUGUGAAUUGCAGAAUUCAGUGAAUCAUCGAAUCUUUGAACGCACAUUGCGCCCGCCAGUAUUCUGGCGGGCAUGCCUGUUCGAGCGUCAUUUCAACCAACAAGCCCCAGGCUUGUGUUGGGGACCUGCGGCUGCCGCAGGCCCUGAAAACCAGUGGCGGGCUCGCUAGUCACACCGAGCGUAGUAGCAUACACAUCGCUCAGGGCGUGCUGCGGGUUCCGGCCGUUAAACCCCUUUUUUACCCAAGGUUGACCUCGGAUCAGGUAGGAAGACCCGCUGAACUUAAGCAUAUCAAUAAGCGGAGGA